GUCGAGCGAAUCAAUAGGAGCUUGCUCCUUGAGAUUAGCGGCGGACGGGUGAGUAACACGUGGGCAACCUGCCCUGCAGAUGGGGAUAACUCCGGGAAACCGGGGCUAAUACCGAAUAAUCAGUUCCUUCGCAUGAGGGAACUCUGAAAGACGGUUUCGGCUGGCACUGGAGGAUGGGCCCGCGGCGCAUUAACUAGUUGGGGGGGUAAUGGCCUACCAAGGGAACGAUGCGUAGCCGACCUGAAAGGGUGAUCGGCCACACUGGGACUGAAACACGGCCCAAACUCCUACGGGAGGGAGCAGUAGGGAAUCUUCCACAAUGGACGAAAGUCUGAUGGAGCAAUGCCGCGUGAGUGAAGAAGGUUUUCGGAUCGUAAAGCUCUGUUGCGAGGGAAGAACACGUACGGGAGUAACUGCCCGUACCUUGACGGUACCUCGUCAGAAAGCCCCGGCUAACUACCUGCCAGCAGCCGCGGUAAUACGUAAGUGGCAAGCGUUGUCCGGAAUUAUUGGGCGUAAAGCGCGCGCAGGCGGUCCUUUAAGUCUGAUGUGAAAGCCCACGGUCAACCGUGGAGGGUCAUUGGAAACUGGGGGACUUGAGUACAGAAGAGGAAAGCGGAAUUCCACGUGUAGCGGUGAAAUGCGUAGAGAUGUGGAGGAACACCAGUGGCGAAGGCGGCUUUCUGGUCUGUAACUGACGCUGAGGCGCGAAAGCGUGGGGAGCAAACAGGAUAGAUACCCUGGUAGUCCACGCCGUAAACGAUGAGUGCUAAGUGUUAGGGGGUUUC
This 788-nucleotide ribosomal RNA is filed under the name Sporosarcina sp. 11AL4. RNAcentral's name for it is "bacterial SSU rRNA". It matches the Rfam family "Bacterial small subunit ribosomal RNA", at positions 61 to 834 of the family's 1533-position model. The record is from RNAcentral. Lineage: Bacteria; Bacillati; Bacillota; Bacilli; Caryophanales; Caryophanaceae.